Molecule: ribosomal RNA, 594 nt
Filed under: Streptomyces variabilis
Lineage: Bacteria; Bacillati; Actinomycetota; Actinomycetes; Kitasatosporales; Streptomycetaceae
Description: bacterial SSU rRNA
Rfam family: Bacterial small subunit ribosomal RNA
Source: RNAcentral
GGUCUGGUAGGGUGAGCGGCCACACUGGGGCUGGAGGUCUGCCCAGACUCGGACGGGAGGCAUCACGGGGGAAUAUUGCACAAUGGGCGAAAGCCUGAUGCAGCGACGCCGCGUGAGGGAUGACGGCCUUCGGGUUGUAAACCUCUUUCAGCAGGGAAGAAGCGAAAGUGACGGUACCUGCAGAAGAAGCGCCGGCUAACUACGUGCCAGCAGCCGCGGUAAUACGUAGGGCGCGAGCGUUGUCCGGAAUUAUUGGGCGUAAAGAGCUCGUAGGCGGCUUGUCACGUCGGUUGUGAAAGCCCGGGGCUUAACCCCGGGUCUGCAGUCGAUACGGGCAGGCUAGAGUUCGGUAGGGGAGAUCGGAAUUCCUGGUGUAGCGGUGAAAUGCGCAGAUAUCAGGAGGAACACCGGUGGCGAAGGCGGAUCUCUGGGCCGAUACUGACGCUGAGGAGCGAAAGCGUGGGGAGCGAACAGGAUUAGAUACCCUGGUAGUCCACGCCGUAAACGGUGGGCACUAGGUGUGGGCGACAUUCCACGUCGUCCGUGCCGCAGCUAACGCAUUAAGUGCCCCGCCUGGGGAGUACGGCCGCAAGG